CUGCACGAUCACUACCCCGGGCUUCUCUGAAAAAUCAAUGACGAUGAAAGCCCCAAUGCUCGUGCUAAAGCGACGCCGUCCAGUGUUGCAGUCCAGCCCUUUCUCUGUCUCCACGGCUGAGCUGUGUCAAAUCGACGCCAACAUCU
This is a small nucleolar RNA of Corylus avellana, 146 nucleotides long. RefSeq annotates it as small nucleolar RNA snoR134. The record is from RefSeq and is a predicted model, not a curated record. Lineage: Eukaryota; Viridiplantae; Streptophyta; Magnoliopsida; Fagales; Betulaceae.